This 87-nucleotide transfer RNA is filed under the name Hyphomicrobiaceae bacterium. Its description in RNAcentral is "tRNA-Tyr". It matches the Rfam family "tRNA". From Rfam's summary of the family: Transfer RNA (tRNA) molecules are approximately 80 nucleotides in length. Their secondary structure includes four short double-helical elements and three loops (D, anti-codon, and T loops). The record is from RNAcentral. Lineage: Bacteria; Pseudomonadati; Pseudomonadota; Alphaproteobacteria; Hyphomicrobiales; Hyphomicrobiaceae.
GGGCAGGUGGUCGAGUGGUUGAAGGCACCUGGCUGUAAAUCAGGUCUGUAAAAAGCGUCGCAGGUUCAAAUCCUGCCCUGCCCACCA